This 290-nucleotide long non-coding RNA is filed under the name Nicotiana benthamiana. Its description in RNAcentral is "long non-coding RNA (NBEN_LNC028021)". Lineage: Eukaryota; Viridiplantae; Streptophyta; Magnoliopsida; Solanales; Solanaceae. The record is from RNAcentral.
AAAAAGUUUUCUAUAUGAUAUAAAAAUAUAAAAAUCUCUCCUUUUUGAGAUGGGUCUUUAACCCAAUAAUGUUGCUGUUAACUUUAGAGACAAGGAAUUAAGCCUUAUCUUAUUUAUUAUGGAACACUUGAGAAAAGAAACACUUAUCUCCUUUUAACCUUAACAGCCGCAAAGAUCUGGAGCACCAAACUCCAUGAAUUUUCAUCUCUUCUUUUUAAUCAAUAAUAUUUUGAAUUUCAGAACUUGGAGAAAAACGUUGGUCUCUCUCUUUCCUCUUUUCUUUCACGCCG